GGGGAUGUAGCUCAGUGGUAGAGCGCAUGCUUAGCAUGCAUGAAGUCCUGGGUUCGAUCCCCAGCAUCUCCA
This 72-nucleotide transfer RNA is filed under the name Cricetulus griseus (Chinese hamster). It matches the Rfam family "tRNA". From Rfam's summary of the family: Transfer RNA (tRNA) molecules are approximately 80 nucleotides in length. Lineage: Eukaryota; Metazoa; Chordata; Mammalia; Rodentia; Cricetidae. The record is from Rfam by way of RNAcentral.